RNAcentral lists this ribosomal RNA (406 nucleotides) under uncultured bacterium. Its description in RNAcentral is "partial 16S ribosomal RNA". It matches the Rfam family "Bacterial small subunit ribosomal RNA", at positions 30 to 526 of the family's 1533-position model. The record is from RNAcentral.
AUUGAACGCUGACGGCAGCCUUCACACACCCAAGUCGGGCGAGCGGCGGACGGGUGAGUAAUGUAUGGCGAUCUGCCUGAUGGCGGGGGAACACUACUGGAAACGGUAGCUAAUACCGCACACCCUCAGAUGAACCCAUAUGGGAUUAGCUAGUAGGUAAGGUAACGGCUUCCCUAGGCGACGAUCCCUAGCUGGUCUGAGAGGAUGAUCAGCCGCACUGGGCAUUAGACACGGCCCAGACUCCUACGGGAGGCAGCAGUGGGGAAUAUUUCACAAUGGGUGCAAGCCUGAGGCAGCCAUGACGAGUAUAUGAGGCAGGCCUUCGGGUUGUAGAGUACUUUCAGGCGGUAGGCGUUUCCGGCAGAGGAAGCACCGGCUAACGCCGUGCCAGCAGCCGCGGUAAUUC